Molecule: long non-coding RNA, 6230 nt
Filed under: Nicotiana benthamiana
Lineage: Eukaryota; Viridiplantae; Streptophyta; Magnoliopsida; Solanales; Solanaceae
Description: long non-coding RNA (NBEN_LNC008503)
Source: RNAcentral
AAGAGGAGAACGAGGACAGCUGACUACCGCUAAAAGUCAGACUAAGAGUACACAUUGUAUGAUUGAAAACUGCCGCUGCAUACUACCCGGUGCUUGCAGGUCUGACUGGUGCCUUCUCUCCAACAGCUGCUUCAAUCAAUGUUAAGUCUGACUACGCCCGCAGCUGACUACUUAUUGAAAGACCGAACAGGAAAUGAAAAGUCGUACUACAACAACUGUAAAUAAACAUUCCCUCCCCGCUCUGACUUUGAUCGACUUGCCCGCACAGCGUCUUUUUUGAGAGAAGAGGUCAAGGGGCUAAGUGACUCUCGAAAGUCGUCUUUUGUAUCGCGUCAAGAGAAAUGACAUAGAUAAGAUCAUUGCUUAAAGAGUUUCAUUGUCGAAUUGAUCUCGAAAUUGGAUCCCAAUAGUUGCUGCUGCCCAAAGGUGCUUUAUGAAAGCCGGUCCACAGCAGUGAAAGUACGAUUGAUUCCGUCGAUCGAACGAAAACAGCUUCUUGCUUUUUUUUCCUCUCUGGCUUGACUACUCUGCUUGCUUAACACAAGUCUUAUUUAACCUUCACGGACCACUUCACUACCCAGCAAGCUCCGGCUCGAAAGCAAGAAGCAAGGGCGCAGCAGCUGCGCGAAGUUGCGCCUUAGCGCAUCCGUUUUCUUGCUACUGGACUUCGAUGUUGUUCGAUAUGCCUAUAGAACCUUGGGAAAUUCUCUCUCCAUUUCCUUUGGCUUCAUUUAGCCUUUUCUUCAAGUUUUGGAUGAUAUUUUUAUUCAUUGAUUCAGUAUGUGCAUUUUCACUGGGGUGAUAUGGUAUCGACAGUAUCCUUUUUAUUUUGUGAUAUUCGAGGAAUUUUGUUACCUUACUGCUGAUGAAUUGUUUUUCAUUAUCACACACAAUCUCUGCAGGUAUCCCGAAUUGGCAUGCAAUGUGAUCCCAUAUGAAUUCGAUCACUUCUUUCUCUUUGACUUUCUCGAAGGCAUGUGGUUCAACCCAUUUAGAUAAAUAGUUAGUCAUAAAUAAUAUGAAUUUAGCUUUACCUGUGGCUCAUAGCAGAGGACCGACAAUGUCCAUUUCCCAUUUUAUGAAUGUCCAUGAGGAUAGGACCGAGUGAAGUUGUUCACCAGGCUGAUGAGUCAUUGGUGCAAAACUUUGACAUUCAUUGCAUCUUCGAACAAACUCCUUAGAGUCUUUCUCCAUGCUAUCCCAAUAGUAUCCUGCUCUGAUGGCCUUUCGAACUGGUGAAUUGGCACCAGAAUGGUUUCCACAAGUGCCUUCGUGGUUUUCUCGCAAAGCAUAGUCAGUAUCUCCCGGCCCUAAGCAUAAUGCCAAUGGACCAUCGAACGUUCUUAUAUAUAACGUUCCAUCUUGUCUAAUGUGAACCGAGCUGCUUUAGUUCUUAAGGUCCUCGAUUUUUUUGGGAUCCGAUGGUAGUUUCCCAUUUUUCAAAUAUUUGACAUACUUGUUUCUUCAAUCCCAGGUUAAUUUGUAGAAUUGAUUUUUGCGUGUCCUUCCUCGAUUACAGACCUCAAGAGUUGGACGACAGUCCCCGAGCUAAUUUUAUCUUCAUCAACUGACGAUCCCAAGUUGGCAAAUGCAUCAAUUGCAGAGUCCAUUCUUUGAAGUGGAGUAAGGGGACCUACAGCUUGUCCAAGUACCUCGGCAUCCUGUCAUCUCAAACUUCGAAGGUUCUAUUCACCUAGUUAACUACCAAUAGGGAGUAAAAUUUAGAUUCGAUGACUUACGCUCCCAAGCUUUUAGCUGGUUUGAGACCUACAAUCAUAGACUCAUACUCGGCCUAGUUGUUAGUCAGUUUUGUGGUUUUAGUUAAUUGUCUAAUAACAUUGCCCAUAGGUUGUUUUAAAACAAUACUAAGCCCGUACCCUUUCAUGUUCAAGGCUCCAUCUGUGAAGAGGGUCCAUGCCCACGAUAUUGUACCCGAUUUAACAGAAGUUCUUUUCCACUUCGGGUAUGAGGGUUGGUUAAAAGUCUUCCACAAAAGUCUGCUAAUAUUUGACACUUGAUGUCGUUCGGGGUUGAUACUUGGUAUUAUACCCGCUAAUUUCGACGGCCUAUUUGGCCAAUCGGCCUGAUAACUCGGGCUUGUGCAAUAUAUUCCAAAGGGUGUAUGUGGUAAUAACAUAUAUGGGAUGACAUUGGAAAUAUGUCUUUCGUUUUCUAGAUGCGUUUAUUAAUGCAGGUGCCGAAUUUUCUAGGUGUGGAUACCUGUUUUCAGUAUCUCUUAAAGUUUGACUCACAUAGUAAACUGGAAACUGCAUACCUUAUUCUUCUCGGACUAUUACUCCACUUACCACUAUCUCGAAAACCACCAAGUAUAGGUAUAGCUUCUCAUUUGCCUUUGGGGUAUGGAGAAAAAGUGGGCUCAAUAGAUUCCGUUUCAAUUCCUCCAUUGCUUGUUGACAAUCCGGAGUCCAUGUAAAAUUAUUUUUCUUUUUAAGUAAGGAAAAUAACCUGUGGUUCCGAUCUGACGACCUCGAAAUGAACCGGCCUAGGACAGCUAUCCGUCUGGUUAACCUCUGAACGGCUUUUACACUGUCCACGACGGUGAUAUCCUCGAUGGCCUUAAUCUUGUUGGGAUUGAUCUCGAUCCCUUCAUUUGACACCAUGAAGCCGAGAAAUUUACUCGAGCCGAUAUCGAAGGCACACUUUAAGGGGUUAAGCUUCAUGUUGUAUCUCCUCAAGAUUUCAAAUAUCUCAUGCAAAUGAGUCAAAUGGUUCUCUACGCACAGGACUUAACUAACAUGUCUUCAAUGUAAACUUCUAUUGAUUUUCCUAUCUGUUCUUUGAACAUCUUGUUAAUUAGGCAUUGAUAUGUAGCUCCUACAUUUUUAGCCCGAAGGGCAUUACAUUAUAGCACUAAGUUCCGUACUUAGCAAUAAAAGAAGUUUUUUCCUGGUCUACUGGAUCCAUCUAGAUUGGUUGUACCCAGAAUAAGCAUUGAGAAAUUAAGUAUCUUGUGGUCCCCCGUAGCAUCGAUCAUUCGAUCGAUGUUAAGAAAAGGAAAAGAGUCUUUCGGGCAUUCUUUAUUCAGGUCCUCAUAAUCUAUACACAUUCUAAAUUUGUUCCUGUUUUUGGGGACUAUGACUACGUUGGCUAUUCAUUUGGGAUACUUGAAUUUCCGAAUGGACCUUACUUUAAUAAGUUUAGUUACCUCUUCCUUUAUGAAGAUGUGCUUUACCUCGGACUUAGGCCUUAUCUUUUUCUUUAUCAGUCUGAACUUGGGAUCCAUGCUCGACUGAUAAUUUGUGAUAUCGGGUGGGAUUCCUAUCAUGUCUAAAUGGGACCAUGCAAAAACAAUCCAAGUUAUAAGAAAUUGAAUGAGUUUUUUCAUAGUUUGGGGGUUAACCCCGUUCCUAGGUAUACUUUACGUUCAGGUAGAUACUCUAUGAGUAUCACUUGUUCCAGCUCUUUAACCAUUGAUUUGAUUGCGUCCGAAUCUUCAGAAACGAUGAAAGUUUGAGGAGUGAGAAAAUCCUCUUCAUCAUCUUCGAUUACCUACUUAUCCAAUUCGAUCGAUGUUGGGGACGAUGAUUGCUAAUUGGAAGCUUGCUUAUCUUUGAUGGUUGACUUUUCUAAGGUCGAAGGUGCUGAUAUUGGUGUAACCUCAUUGACUGCAAACAUCUCUUUUGCAUCGUGUUGUUCCCUAUAAACUAUUUUCACACAAUCCACUGUUGGGAACUUCGUCAUUUGGUGAAGGGUUGAAGGUACUGCCCUCAUAUUGUAGAUCCAUGGCCUUUUGAGCAGUGCAUUGUACCUCAUAUCGCUUUUGGUAACAUGAAAUUUUUUGUCUUGGAUGGUCCCGACCACGUUCACUGGAAGCAUUAUUUCUCCCUUUGUUAUUUCACUAGCCAUGUUGAAGCUGUUUAAGACUCGAGAUGCAGGUAUAAUCCGAUCUAGAAGGCCGAGCUGCUCUACGACCCUUGACAUGAUUGUUUGGCGAACUACCUAGAUCCACGAGAACAUGUUUAACUUGAAUUUUAUUUAGCAAAAUAGAAAUUAUUAGGGUGUCAUUGUGCAAUUGAGAGAGGCCUUCCAUCUCUUCAUCAUUGAAUGUAAGGGUGACUUCGGACAUAUAGUCUCGGGUUCAUUUUCUAUUGUAAUCGAUAAUUUUGGUGCGUUUGAAAACAGGACCUUGUGGGACAUCGACCCCGCCGACAAUCAUGUUAAUAACAUGCUGAGGUUCUUCUUGCUUAUUUUUUCCAUUGGAAUGUCUUUCACUGAAGUGAUUUUUGGCUCUAUCAUUGAGGAAUUCUCGAAAAUGACCCUUGUUGAAUAAUCGAGCUACUUCCUCUCUUAAAUUUUUGCAGUCUUCAAUCCUAUGGCCAUGCGUGCCAUGGUAUUUGCACAUCAAGUUUGGAUUCCUUUGAAAAUGAUCGGUUUAUAUAGGUCUGGGCCACCUAGUGUCUUUAAUCCUUCUGAUGGCCGAUACGAUACCCGAGGCAUCGGCGCUUAAAUUAUACUUCAAUAACCGGGAUACUUAUGUGAGAUCCGUAUAUUUGUCGAAUCCAUACUUGCUCAUGAAUCCCCGAGUAUUCUGUCCUCGGUCACCCCUUUGUUCAUUCUGGGCAGAAUCAUUGAUGGUUUUUUCUUCUUUAUCGCUGAUACUGAUCUUUAUUCGGCCUUGAUUCUCUAUCAACAUCUCUUUGGUUUUUACCUAUCGACCGAUAAGAAUGCACUGAACCUGAGGUGGCUCCUAGUAGAUCGUCCUCGACUCUAAUUUUUGAUUGAUACCGGUUAUGAAUAUCUGCCAAAGUUACAGACGGGCACUCUACAAAUUCUAUUUUAAAUGGGGUGAUGCGAUCGAACUUCACUCGUUUAUUCCCUGGGUGAAAGCCUGAACAACCCACUUGUUGGUACUUCUGUCAUGUCUAAAUGGGACCAUGCAAAGCAAUCCAUGUUAGAAGAAAUUAAAUGAGCUUUUCGGAGUUUGGGGGUUAACCUCGUUCCCAGGUAUACCUUACGUUCGGGUAGAUACUCUAUAAGUAUCACCUGUUCCAGCUCUUUAACCGUUGAUUUGGUUGCGUUCGAUUCUUCGGGAACGAUGAAAGUUUCAGGAGUGAGAAAAUCAUCUUCAUCAUCUCUGAUUAACUGCUUAUCCGAAUCGAUCGAUGCUGGGGACAGUGAUUGCUAUUUGGAAACUUGCUUAUCUUUGAUGCUUAACUUUCUGAGGUUGAAGGUGGUGAUAUUGGCGUAACCUCAACGAAUGCAAAUAUCUCCUUUGCAGCGUGUUCUUCCCAAUAAACUGUUUUCACACAAUCCAGUGUUGGGAACUUCAUCAUUUGGUGACGGGUUGCGGUACUACCCUCAUAUUGUGGAUCCAUGGCCUUUUGAGCAGUGGAAUUUAACUCAUAUCGCUUUCGAUAACAUGAAAUUUUGUGUCUUGGAUGGUCCCGACCCCGUUCAUUGGUAGGAUUAUUUCUCCCUUUAUUGUUUCACUAGCCAUUUUGAAGUUGUUUAGGACUCGAGAUGCAUGUAUAAUCCGAUCUAGAAGGCCGAGCUGCUCUACGACCCUCGAUGUGAUUAUGUUUGCCGAACUACCUAGAUCCACGAGAACAUGUUUAACUUGAAUUUUAUUUAGCAAAAUAUAUAUUACUAGGGUGUCAUUGUGCGAUUGAGAGAGGCCUUCCGUCUCUUUGUCGUUGAAUAUAAGGGUGCCUUUGGAUAUAUAGUCUCAGGUUUGUUUUUCUAUUGUAAUCAAUACUUUGGUGCGUUUGAAGACAGGACCUUAUGGGACGUCGACCCCGCCGACGAUCAUGUCGAUAACAUGCUGAGGUUCUUCUUUUCUCCGUUGGCAUAUCUUUCCUUGAAGUGAUUUUUGGCUCUAUCAUUGAGGAAUUCUCGAAAAUGAUCCUCGUUGAGUAAUCGAGCUACUUCGUCUCUCAACUUUUUGCAGUCUUUGGUCCUAUGGCCAUGCGCGCCAUGGUCUUUGCACAUCAAAUUUGGAUUCCUUUGAAAAGGAUCAGUUUGUAUAGGUCAGGGCCACCUAGUGUCUUUAAUCCUUCCGAUGGCCGAAAGGAUACUCGAUGUAUCGAUGCUUAAAUUGUACUUCGUGAUCGGGACGCGUCUGUAGGAUCCACAUAUUUGCCGAAUCCAUUCUUGCUCAUGAGUCCCUGAGUAUUCUGUCUUCGGUCACCCCUCCGUUCAUUCUAGGCAGAAUCACGGAUGGUUGUUUCUUCUUUAUGGCUGGUACUUAUCUUUAUUCGACCUUGAUUCUC